This 252-nucleotide ribosomal RNA is filed under the name uncultured bacterium. RNAcentral describes it as "partial 16S ribosomal RNA". It matches the Rfam family "Bacterial small subunit ribosomal RNA", at positions 1250 to 1500 of the family's 1533-position model. The record is from RNAcentral.
CGACACGGUGACGUGGGGCGGAUCCCUGAAAACCGGUCUCAGUUCGGAUCGCAGUCUGCAACUCGACUGCGUGAAGGUGGAGUCGCUAGUAAUCGCGGAUCAGCAACGCCGCGGUGAAUGCGUUCCCGGGCCUUGUACACACCGCCCGUCACACCAUGGGAGUCGGUAACACCCAAAGUUGGUAGUCUAACCGCAAGGAGGACGCCGCCUAAGGUGGGAUUGAUGACUGGGGUGAAGUCGUAACAAGGUACC